Molecule: long non-coding RNA, 476 nt
Filed under: Oryza sativa Indica Group (long-grained rice)
Lineage: Eukaryota; Viridiplantae; Streptophyta; Magnoliopsida; Poales; Poaceae
Description: lncRNA OsMH63_12G009700
Source: RNAcentral
ACAAGAAACGGAAAGCUACCUCUAGUUGUCGGAGCCGAUCUAUCAAAAUAGAAUACUGCUGCUGCUGUGACUUCAUCUGGUUGUGCAGUUCCAAAAGCUCAGUCAUCAUAAUAGACUCACAUUCCUUGACCACUGUUUCAUUCAGCCCCUCCUGCAGCAGCCGCACCCUCAGCUUCUCCGUGGACAACAAAACAUCAGACAUGGGACUAAAAUCAUUGCUCGUUAGUGAACGUGGGAAGCGAUCCUUUGCCGCUUGCAGAGCCUGUAUCCAGGCAUUCCUAUCUUCCUCAGUUUCACACCUCAAGUGUAACCUGGACCAUACCUUGAGGUGUAUCUCCCCGAACGGCUUCCACUGCUUCCCCGCCGCCGCGGCCUCCUCCCGCGCCCGCCGCAGCGCGCCACCCUCCCCGAUCACCCUCGCCGCCACCGCCGGCGACGCCGCGGAAUCACCGCCCCCUCCAACCCGGAGCUUGUAG